Molecule: ribosomal RNA, 492 nt
Filed under: uncultured bacterium
Lineage: Bacteria
Description: partial 16S ribosomal RNA
Rfam family: Bacterial small subunit ribosomal RNA
Source: RNAcentral
AGUGAACGCUGGCGGUAGGCCUAACACAUGCAAGUCGAACGGCAGCACAGUAAGAGCUUGCUCUUACGGGUGGCGAGUGGCGGACGGGUGAGGAAUACAUCGGAAUCUACUUUUUCGUGGGGGAUAACGUAGGGAAACUUACGCUAAUACCGCAUACGACCUACGGGUGAAAGCAGGGGAUCUUCGGACCUUGCGCGAUUGAAUGAGCCGAUGUCGGAUUAGCUAGUUGGCGGGGUAAAGGCCCACCAAGGCGACGAUCCGUAGCUGGUCUGAGAGGAUGAUCAGCCACACUGGAACUGAGACACGGUCCAGACUCCUACGGGAGGCAGCAGUGGGGAAUAUUGGACAAUGGGCGCAAGCCUGAUCCAGCCAUUCCGCGUGGGUGAAGAAGGCCUUCGGGUUGUAAAGCCCUUUUGUUGGGAAAGAAAAGCAGCAGGUUAAUACCCCGCUGUUCUGACGGUACCCAAAGAAUAAGCACCGGCUAACUUCGUG